Paramisgurnus dabryanus is the source of this 2490-nucleotide non-coding RNA. NCBI's taxonomy places the organism in Eukaryota, Metazoa, Chordata, Actinopteri, Cypriniformes, Cobitidae. The record is from RefSeq and is a predicted model, not a curated record.
GGCAAUGGGAGUUGUUGGCCCGCCUUGACGCAGUGAUUCACGGGACGGGGGCGUGGUCAACUCGGAAUGCAUUUUCAAUUGAAUUUUGCUACAUCCGUUGCUCUCUAUGUAAAUGAAAAUGCAAUCCCAAGUUUCCCACCCGUAAAUGUAAAUGCAUUCAGGGAAAAUUACAUUUAAAUGAUCAUUUUGCUACAGCUUUUGCUUGACCAUGUAAAGCAUAUCUAAUCAAUCCAGCUAAUACAUUUCCAAUUUAAUUUUGCUACAUCCGUUGCGCUCUAUGUAAAUGAAAAUGCAAUCCCAAGUUUCCCACCUGUAAAUGUAAAUGCAUUUAGGGAGAAUUACAUUUAAAUUAUAAUUUUGCUACAGUUUUUGCUUGACCAUGUGAAACACAUUAUAUCAGUUCGGGUAAUACAUUUCCAUUUUAAUUUUGCAACUUCUAAUGCAUUAAAAUAUGUAUUUAAAACAGGGCUGUAGAAAAUGGAAAAUGUAAAUUAAAGUAUUACAUUUUCAUUUUUAUUUUGCACCAAGCAUUGCACAUACAAGCAUGGAAAAUGUAAACUUAAAUAGUCGCUUUGCAUUGCCAUUUUACAUAUUGCAUUGUCAUAUUGCAUAUUACAUUCUAAAUUGAAUUAUGCUACCCAUAUGCUUCCAUAUUUUCUAUCAGGUUAAGAAUAACUGUGAUCAUAUUAUAAUGACGUAAUCGAAUUUGGUUAUCUGGUCUUCCUGAUGUUAGAACAUUUAUAUAAAAAACAUAUUUUAAAAUGUAUUUCUGUAACGUUUAAUUUCCUUUUUUGAUGAAAGUGUGUCUGUGUUCAUCAAGACAUGAAGACUCUGGAGUGGGACAAGAGAAUGAUGAUGGGGUGUAUAUUCCAAUAGACACAUUAAGUCACAUUGUGAUUUCAGUGAAAGCUGAUAAAUACAGAGGGCUGGACAGUGGUUUCAUUCAUUAGGUGAUUAAGAACUGACCAUAGCCUAACAUUAAUUUAGUGACCCGAAUUGCAUUGUUGAAUACAAAGGAAAAUGGUAAAGAGGUGGGACAAGGAUGCUGACAGGACAGGAGGAGGUGACAUUCAGGUUAGUGACAGUACAUCAGGGCCACCAUUUAAUUUAAUGUUAAUUUAAUUGCUUCCAAAAUCAAUACUUGACAAAUCUUUAGAAUUAUAUCUGCAAAGCUGAAUUUCUCAUUGGUGGAUAAAGUAUGACAGCAAUUGUGAAGACCUUAGACGUGCAGUAUAUGGUUCUUCUCUCUUUCAUUUAUAUUGAUUUGACUUAAUUUUCUUGGUACUAAUAAUGGGGAUAUUCCUAAUAUAAUAUAUUUUAAAUACAUGCUUAGAACAUAUCUCAUUUGCUCAUUUGCUUUGUAUCUAAAUGAAAAGUACCUCUUUAAGGUCUAAGCUAUGUUUCAUUUUAUUUAGACAUUCAACGCAGACAUUUUUAUCCAAAGCAACUUGAGGAAGAAAACAGAAGCAGUUCAUCCUAAAAGUGGGCUGCUGUAAUGUUUACAUCUAUGGAAAGAGGAGCUGAGAAGAAAAGAGAGGCUGGAAAGCAGUACUUCUUGUUGAGGACAAUCCUGAAUAGGAACACUUUCUCAUACACAUAGAUUAUUAUUAGUGUUUGAUUGUUUGUUUCAUUUUUAUGAAUUGUAUUGUUUUAAUUUUUCGUUUUAUUUGAAAUUACCUAAGUUAGAUUCAUGCUAAUACUUUAACUGGACCUUGUAUCUUUGCUGGCUGGCUGGCUGGCUGUAGAGUUGGUUUCACAUACACAUUAAGUUUCUAUUUAACUAACUUUUAAGUUCAGUUUGGUUUAAACUUGUAUUUACCCAUGGUAAUUCAUUUAAAUUUCUAUUCAUGCUUAUAUAUUAAUUUCAAUGAACUUCUGUAUUUGUGUAUAGCUGGCAAUUUGGGCAAGCUACGUUUAACACACAAAUGUAACUGUCACAAAGGUUUUUUUUAUUAUCAGUUUGUUCUAAACUUGUUUGUUUACUAAGGAUGAAAUUGCUUUGUAAUUUAAGUUGUUGGUAGAUUCAUGCCAAUAAUGUUUUUGAACAAACUAGUACUUUUGUUUAUUGCUGGCAGUUUAUACUAGAAGAGUUUUAACACAUACAAUGUUGUAGUGUUAUUGACUUGUGUGCUAUUGAUUAAUAAAAAGGCAAACAAUUUGAAAGUAAUUUUUCGUGUGAUUUAUUUAUUAAUAUAAUUUGGGCAAGAUUAGGCUGAGUUAUGGCUCAGUUUUGGAAGUUCUGGUUAAAUGCUGGUUUUAAUAUGGUUGACCUAUGGCUGAGAACUGGUACCGAUGUUAGAACCUGUUCUGGCCCAGGUUUGGGCCAAUUAUGGGCUAUUAUCUGUCAGAGACAUGGGCCAGUUGUGGCCCAUGUGUGGCCUUUGUCCGUAAUUCAGAACUGGGCCACUGUAGGGCCGUCAUUCUUCGUUGUAUGUGGGCCGAGGAAAAACUGGUUGUGUGGGCCGGAGCUGGGCCGGAACAAAAUUGCUA